UUAAUCCCAAGGUCUUGAACUCAGAGA
Molecule: non-coding RNA, 27 nt
Filed under: Mus musculus (house mouse)
Lineage: Eukaryota; Metazoa; Chordata; Mammalia; Rodentia; Muridae
Source: RNAcentral